CGAAAUGCAUUUAGGUGCAGCGUCGUAUUAUAGCUUGGUGGAGGUAGAGCGACUGGUUGGUUGAGCGGGACUACAAUCUUAGCAAUGUCAGCCAAACUCCGAAUGCCACUAAUUGUGUUGUACGGCAGUGAGACUGUGGGGGAUAAGCUUCAUAGUCGAGAGGGAAACAGCCCAGAUCAUCAGCUAAGGCCCCUAAGUGGUGACUCAGUGGGAAAGGAUGUGGAGUUGCGUAGACAACCAGGAGGUUGGCUUGGAAGCAGCCAUCCUUGAAAGAGUGCGUAAUAGCUCACUGGUCGAGUGGUUCUGCGCCGACAAUGUAGUGGGGCUCAAGUACACCGCCGAAGCCGCGGCAAACUUUUUUGUUUGGGUAGGGGAGCGUCGUGUGUGGGGUGAAGCCGUAUCGGAAGGAGCGGUGGACUGCAUGCGAGUGAGAAUGCAGGCAUGAGUAACGAAUGGCAAGUGAGAAUCUUGCCCGCCGGAUGACUAAGGGUUCCUGGGUCAAGUUCGUCUUCCCAGGGUGAGUCGGGACCUAAGGCGAGGCCGACAGGCGUAGUCGAUGGACAACGGGUUGAUAUUCCCGUACCAGUG
Molecule: ribosomal RNA, 588 nt
Filed under: Leptocylindrus danicus
Lineage: Eukaryota; Bacillariophyta; Leptocylindrophyceae; Leptocylindrales; Leptocylindraceae
Description: partial Bacterial large subunit ribosomal RNA
Rfam family: Bacterial large subunit ribosomal RNA
Source: RNAcentral